Lycium barbarum (goji berry) is the source of this 1329-nucleotide long non-coding RNA. RefSeq lists it as uncharacterized. The transcript has 3 exons. The record is from RefSeq and is a predicted model, not a curated record. NCBI's taxonomy places the organism in Eukaryota, Viridiplantae, Streptophyta, Magnoliopsida, Solanales, Solanaceae.
GGCACCUUCAGCAAUCUUUUAAAAAUGCCCUUGCCUGAGAGAGCCUUCUCAUAAAUGAUAAUAUAUCCCUUUCUUCCCCACCACUUUCUCUGCGCUCCCCUCUUCAUUCACCAUUGCAGUCAAGAGCCUUCUCCAUAAAUUUGUUUGAUACACAUUAAAAAAAAAAAAAAAAAAAGUCAAAACAUUAUUUGGAAGGUGAGGAUCACUUCUAUCCGAAAAAUUUAUGCAUUAAUCAACCAUUCAAAUUAGAAAAUGCAUCUUCAAGAGCAUUUGAAUGCAGCUGGACACACGCCACUAGAUCAUGCUAUGAUCACUACUUUGGUCUAAAGAUGGCAACAAGAAUCACACACAUUCCAUCUUCGGUCUGGGGAGGCCACAUUACAUUGCAGGUCGUGACUGUAUUAUAUGGGCUGCUAGUUAAUUGUUACUAGUGACAGAGAUAGAUUUUACCCUAGAUCCUAUAGAGUGAUAGGUGUGUAUGGUAGAUCUUUUAAGCCGGGCACCGGUAGAGGUUGAUUGAGAAUUUCAGGGGCAGAUUGCUAACGACAUCCUUGGUUGGUCAUAUUACAUCACCAUCACUUCAUCUGAUUACUGAUAAUACUCUUGAAAUUGUUGUUUAGCAGCGGGUGUGCUUGUACAUAUUGUGGACCAUUGAGGGUAUGCUUGUGGUUAACACAUCAGGUAACAAGGUCAAGUUGAUGUAUCUAUAUUUGCUUGAGGACUUGUCCAAAGUUAAUAUGCUUGGGAUGCAGCCACACUUGCGAUACUUUACAUGCAUCUUUGUCGUGCAUCGCAGAGAGGGAUUAGAGUCAUUGAUGGUUUCUUACCUUUACUUCAGGCUACAGAGGGAUCCUGAUCCGCAAGCUGCCGAGUGGCUAGUUCCUAACCUAUCAGGACCACCGCGUGCUCAUGUAAGGUUAAUAGGCUAUGCCACGAUACAGAAACACCUCACCUAAUAUAUUUAUUUCGUGAUCAACUAGAUUUAAUCUUAGAGCAUCAGGUCUUUUUAUACUUUUGAAUGAUAGUUUUACUUGUCAUUUUUAUUUUUUUUAAGUCUAUCACUAAAACUAACUAAAUUUACUUGAUUAUACUGUUUUCAUGACAUCCUACAGUCCUGGUGUUUUCAAUUUAUUAUCAUAUUAUUGUGUGAGUAGUUCUGGUGUUUGGCAUGCUGUUGUACCUGUAAUAGCUUGGGAUGCGGUUAGUGUUACCAACAAGAUAGGAUAUAACGCCAGUUUGGAUUGAUUCAGCACAUUCCGGAUAGAAUACAAUGGACCUCGAGAUUUCUUUAAAAAUCCAUUGAACGAUUCAGAAUGAUUGGUUGUUAAG